UACGUAGGGUGCAAGCGUUAAUCGGAAUUACUGGGCGUAAAGCGUGCGCAGGCGGCUUUGCAAGACAGAUGUGAAAUCCCCGGGCUUAACCUGGGAACUGCAUUUGUGACUGCAUGGCUGGAGUGCGGCAGAGGGGGAUGGAAUUCCGGCGUGUAGCAGUGAAAUGCGUAGAUAUGCGGAGGAACACCGAUGGCGAAGGCAAUCCCCUGGGCCUGUACUGACGCUCAUGCACGAAAGCGUGGGGAGCAAACAGG
Molecule: ribosomal RNA, 254 nt
Filed under: uncultured bacterium
Lineage: Bacteria
Description: partial 16S ribosomal RNA
Rfam family: Bacterial small subunit ribosomal RNA
Source: RNAcentral